GCUGACAUAUCCCUAGGUUGGUUAAGGCGUCAGAUUUAAGCUCUGAUAUCGAAAGAUGCGUCGGUUCGAACCCGACAGCCACCA
This is a non-coding RNA of Bisporella sp. PMI_857, 84 nucleotides long. The record is from the annotation of a GenBank genome assembly. Lineage: Eukaryota; Fungi; Ascomycota; Leotiomycetes; Helotiales; Helotiaceae.